RNAcentral lists this unclassified non-coding RNA (247 nucleotides) under plant metagenome. Its description in RNAcentral is "partial contains small subunit ribosomal RNA, internal transcribed spacer 1, and 5.8S ribosomal RNA". The stretch from base 1 to 54 matches the Rfam family "Eukaryotic small subunit ribosomal RNA", at positions 1778 to 1831 of the family's 1831-position model. The record is from RNAcentral.
GGAAGUGAAAGUCGUAACAAGGUCUCCGUUGGUGAACCAGCGGAGGGAUCAUUACAGGACUCGCAAGACUCCUACAACCCUGUGAACUUAACUAUAAGCACGUUGCUUCGGCGGGUGUCUCGGAGGGGGUUCUCCCUCCCCGAGACGCUAAACCCGCCGGCAGCCUACUAUACUCUGUCUCUUUGCGUUGGCAUCUCGAGUACAAUCAAACAAGUUAAAACCUUCAACAACGGAUCUCUUGGUUCUG